GCGUCCUGAACCAAAGAGAGAGGGAGGGGGGAAGAGAAAGAGAGAGAGGGAGGUGGUGCAUCCUCCGCAUCCUCCUCCUCCUCCACGCCUGCCCGGCUGCGGCAAAGCUCCGCAGUAGGUGCUCCCCUCCCCCGUGCAUUUCCUUUGCUGUAGAAACUUCUGGAAUCAGCAGCCGAGCUGGGGAGAGGAAAGCAGAGCAACCCUGCUGCCCGCAGAGGGGGGAGAAAAAAAAAAGCGAGCUGAGCCAUAGAGCAGGCAAUAAAAGGGAGAGGAAUGCACAGCAGCGGGGCACGCACGUCGCUCCGUGCAUCACGUAGGGCAGCCCGCGGGGCUGGAAAUAAAGCACAAAAGCACACAAAUGGUGGUGUGUGCGGCGCUGGAUAGUGGGACAAGGAGCUGAGCCCUCCUCCCGGAGCUGCACUAAGCCCUGCCACUCAGUUCAGCUCAUCCGUCCUCAUUUCGGUGCAAUGAAUUCAGUGCCUGCCCGACUGCACUGGCAGAGUCAGCUGCCUUCUUCUUUUUUUUUUUUUCUUUUUUUUAAAUAAUUAAUAUUGCUUUCCUUUUUGGUUCUGUUUCACUGCUUUAUUUUUUACUUUUUAUUUUUUUAUCCUUUAAUUAAGAAAUCUUUCCCCAACAUCCCAAGGGAAAUCUACACCUCUGUGGAACAAAUAAAGCAUUCAGGCACCAAUCUUCACCACGGACUGAUCAAAUGGGCGGCUGGUCGCAUUUUGCUUGUUUUUACCUUUUUUAACUAUUAUUUUUCGUCUUUUUUUUUUUUCUUUUGGGUGUGUGCGUGUAAUUUUUUUUCCCUCUUGCUCUUAGGACAGUAGAAAGCCAAUGGAGGAAAACAAAGUAUUACCACAUCUGAUCUCACCACAUGUAUGUUUUUAAUUACCAGAACGGUGGCCGUGAGGAGGCAGUUCCUUCCCUCAGUCCUCGGCUGUUUGGGGCUUUUUUAGCGUUGUUUUGCUUUUUUUUUUUUUUUUUUUUUUUGUUUUUGUUUUUUUAAUUGGGCAUUUUCCACGCGGUGAGGACAGCGAUUGCAACCCCUGCGGAGGAGAGAAGUGGAGGGGGAGAAAUUAGGCAUCAAGCUAUCGAAAUACCCACCUGGGAGGGCGCGUGUGGAGGGGGAGGAAAGAGCAGCGUUGACCCCAAAAUCUUCACGCUGUGAGGGGAAAAAAACACUUCAAAAUGGGACGGUGAGGGGGACGGGAAGGGAACGAGCGGCCCUCAGGGCGCCGCGGGCCCUUCCCGCGCUCUCCGCCCGCCGCCAUUUUGUCGCCUCAGUACCGCUCGGCGCGGCCCCGCCGGGCGCCAUUUUGUGAAGCGAGCAGCGGGCGGGGCCCUGCAGUACCGCGGGCGGCGCUGUACCGCGCGGCCGUCUGCCUCCCCCUCCCCUUUCUGUGAGAAAAACAUCCUCCGUUCGCUCAUUUACCCUCACAAUUUUGUUGUUGUUGUUGUUUUUUCCUUCACAAAAUAAGGUUACGCGGUGUUCUUAAAACAGGGUCGGGAAAAGGGGACAAGGGGACAAGGUCUCCUCAGCACCCUGCGUAC
Gallus gallus (chicken) is the source of this 1554-nucleotide long non-coding RNA. The record is from Ensembl. NCBI's taxonomy places the organism in Eukaryota, Metazoa, Chordata, Aves, Galliformes, Phasianidae.